RNAcentral lists this ribosomal RNA (301 nucleotides) under uncultured bacterium. RNAcentral's name for it is "partial 16S ribosomal RNA". It matches the Rfam family "Bacterial small subunit ribosomal RNA", at positions 509 to 807 of the family's 1533-position model. The record is from RNAcentral.
CAGUCGCCACGGGAAUACGUAGGUGGCAAGCGUUGUCCGGAAUUAUUGGGCGUAAAGGGCUCGCAGGCGGUUUCUUAAGUCUGAUGUGAAAGCCCCCGGCUCAACCGGGGAGGGUCAUUGGAAACUGGGAAACUUGAGUGCAGAAGAGGAGAGUGGAUUUCCACGUGUAGCGGUGAAAUGCGUAGAGAUGUGGAGGAACACCAGUGGCGAAGGCGACUCUCUGGUCUGUAACUGACGCUGAGGAGCGAAAGCGUGGGGAGCGAACAGGAUUAGAUACCCCUGUAGUCCCUGUCUCUUAUAC